Molecule: ribosomal RNA, 100 nt
Filed under: uncultured bacterium
Lineage: Bacteria
Description: partial 16S ribosomal RNA
Rfam family: Bacterial small subunit ribosomal RNA
Source: RNAcentral
CAACACCGCGUGAGGGAAGAAGGCCUUCGGGUUGUAAACCUCUUUUGUCAGGGAAGAAUAAUGACGGUACCUGGCGAAUAAGUCACGGCUAACUACGUGC